CAGGUGUUCUCGAUGGCUUCC
RNAcentral lists this microRNA (21 nucleotides) under Oryza sativa (Asian cultivated rice). RNAcentral describes it as "osa-miR5489". Lineage: Eukaryota; Viridiplantae; Streptophyta; Magnoliopsida; Poales; Poaceae. The record is from miRBase by way of RNAcentral.